This 843-nucleotide long non-coding RNA is filed under the name Rattus norvegicus (Norway rat). Its description in RNAcentral is "long non-coding RNA NONRATT011998". Lineage: Eukaryota; Metazoa; Chordata; Mammalia; Rodentia; Muridae. The record is from RNAcentral.
GCUUCCAGCUUUCGUCCGGCCUUCUCUGUCUUUGAGCGUGGGGGCCCCGGCUAGGCGCAGGUAUCUGAGGGUUCCCGGGGGCGGACACAAACUUGCUCGGGAGAGGUUGGCACCUAGGUGUCGCGGUUCCUAAGCCCACCAAAGGGACUGAGUCUCAGAGCGUAACGUCAGACCCAGUUUGCCUUCUGGGGAAAGCUGGCCCAAGUGAGUCACCCAAUCCAUCCAUCGUGCCCGAGGGAUUACUACCAGAGUGGAGAAGUGUCAGGGCCAGGACCUGGAAGUUUCAUCUCUCCGGUACUCUAGCCCACGAGAAGUCAGGUUGGUCUAACCGACCUAAACCUUGGACAGGUACUUGGUGCCUUCAUAGUCUUCUUUGAAAGGCAGAUAGAAGUGCAAUAAUUGCUUGGCUUUCACACCGUCUUUGGACAAGGCUCUCCAUAACAGGAUUCAGUCGUGUGUUGCAGCACUGCUUCUAAGGAUAAAAGCCAGGAAACAAUCGACUCUUGGAUUUGUAAGAGACUGAGGAUAUACAAGGGCAGGAAUCUCCAAGAUGAAUAAUAAAGGAAAGCAGAAAAGGAGUUUAUAUAAGAGACAUUUACAUAUGAUAAAAGAAGCAAGCCAGCAACGCAUCCUGAAACUGGAAAGAGCCUAGAUGCCCCUCAACAGAAGAAUGGAUAAAGAAACGGUGAUAUAUUUAAACAGCAUAUUACACAAUAGAGUAUUUCUCAGCUGUCUCAAAAACAAAAACAUGGAACUUGAAGGUAAAUGGAUGGAUUAGAAAAAAAAAUCAUCCUGAAUGAAGAAACUUGGACCCAAAAAGAAAAAUACAGUACAUGUAAUCAC